GAACGCACCUUGCGCUCCUUGGUAUUCCGAGGAGCAUGCCUGUUUGAGUGUCAUUAAAUUCUCAACCUCACCAACUUUGUUGUGUGAAGGCUUGGAUGUGGGGGUUUGCAGGUCCGCACUCGUGUGGUCUGCUCCUCUAAAACGUAUUAGUGGGUUAGUCCCCUAAUCUAUUGGUGUGAUAAUUAUCUACGCCAUAGCCGUGAAGCAGUUUAUAAAAUGGGACUUCAGCUUCUAACCGUCCUUUAAGAGGACAGCACUUAAUUGACAUUUUGACCUCAAAUCAGGUAGGACUACCCGCUGAACUUAAG
RNAcentral lists this unclassified non-coding RNA (308 nucleotides) under uncultured fungus. Its description in RNAcentral is "sequence contains 5.8S rRNA gene". The stretch from base 1 to 53 matches the Rfam family "5.8S ribosomal RNA", at positions 102 to 154 of the family's 154-position model. Lineage: Eukaryota; Fungi. The record is from RNAcentral.